This 85-nucleotide transfer RNA is filed under the name Felis catus (domestic cat). It matches the Rfam family "tRNA". Rfam says of the family: Transfer RNA (tRNA) molecules are approximately 80 nucleotides in length. RNAcentral also lists the same sequence under 1 other name. The record is from Rfam by way of RNAcentral. Lineage: Eukaryota; Metazoa; Chordata; Mammalia; Carnivora; Felidae.
GCCUGGGGGGCUUAGUCGGUUGAGCAUCUGACUUCAGCUCAGGUCAUGAUCUCACAGUCCGUGGGUUCGAGCCCCGCGUCGGGCU